Molecule: long non-coding RNA, 1204 nt
Filed under: Vulpes vulpes (red fox)
Lineage: Eukaryota; Metazoa; Chordata; Mammalia; Carnivora; Canidae
Description: lncRNA (ENSVVUG00000005488.1)
Source: RNAcentral
GUAAUUAGAGAACACCAGGCAUUGCUUCCAGGUUUCAAAGUGGCUUCCAUCCAGCUGCAGGGAGGCUCACAGCAGAAAACCAGAUGUUCAAAUAAAGACCUAAGUGGACAAAUAUGGACGAUGUGCAUUACAUAAAUAUGUGAUGGAAAUCUUUCAUGGUAUUUAGAAAUAACAUCAGUGACUUAAAAGUAUUUGUAUGAAUGUCUCUAUUCUUCCAGAAGCACCGAAGGGAGGAGUUCAAAUGCAAUUGUUGGAAAGAAGACAGGUCAUGAGGAUUUGGGGAAAAGAGAAAUUGUGCCCAUGGCAGUUGUUUUCAUGGUUUUGAGUUAAAUCAGAGAAAAACCUGAGUGCAGAUGUCCUCAGACACAUGAUCCACUUCUUCCAUCAAAGAGGCUCCCACAGAAAUAAUGAUAUUCGUUAAAGCCUGUUCUGUUUGGCUCUAUUAAGAGUUAAAAACUUGGAGAAGGAGCACAUGCCUGGGAAACUGCAGACAAAUUCUUGAGUUGGAAAAUACACCCUACUAAAUUCUUGAAUACAAAAAAUAAUGCUUUAAAUUGUACUUUGGACAUGAUAUGUCCACUUUUUUGGCUCAACAAACAAACCCGAAAUUGUUUUUAGCUUUCUGCUCUGGCAUUCACAAAGUUUUGCCUAAAACCCUUGGAGAAUUGCUGAAAAAGAUUUAUUUAUGUGCAUUCUGAAGACCAUGCCAAAAUCCUGCUGCUUCAUGUUUUUCAAGAUUCUUCUAAAUUAAAAAGCAAGUGUACAGCCGGUAAGCUCAGGAUCAGGAGCAAGACCGGAGGCAGUGCCAGAAGCCUGGGAUGUUUUUCUUAUUACAAAGGGUGAUGUCAAAAGGUCGAUUUGGGGAUGAAGAUGGAAACCAGCACCUGCACCCCCGCGUGGAAUACGAGGGACAAAUGCAACGGCAGGAAGGGGCAGUUCUCAAAACCACUGGCUCCUGGAAACCCUCCUCUGUCCUGGCUCUGGUGGCUCUGGUGGCUCUGGUGGCUCCAGGCCUGUGUGGCUCUGGGUGCACGGGGUGGCUCCCUCUCUGCCCUCCUCGGGGCCUCUGCUUUGCCAUCCCAGGGGCUCCCCCUGAACGUGGGUCCCUGGCCAGCACCUGGGGCCCAGCCUCCUCCAGGAGGAGCUGUCCUCGCUCACGGUUCCAGUUGUCACCUGCAUGUAGAGGACGUCGGGGACAGUGCUG